AUUCUCGCUUUUAGCUUAAAUCCACAUAACAGACACUUCGUGUCGGCUUCGUGCGCAUUUUCGCUAUUAUGUGUUCUUUUAAUUAAAAUGAUUCUUUUUAAAUCUCUAAUAUUUGCUUCGGCAUUUUUGGGGAUUUGUUACUUUGAGUAAAUUAGAGUGUUCAAAGCAAACAGAUAUAGCAUUUGUGCGUUUGAAUACUACAGCAUGGAAUAACAAAAUUGAACAAGUCAAAAUUUUUGUUCUUUUUUCUUAUUUUGGCUUAGUUACGAUUAAUAGGAGUAGCUUGGGGGCAUUUGUAUUCAGAUGUCAGAGGUGAAAUUCUUAGAUUUUCUGGAGACAAACAACUGCGAAAGCAUUUGCCUAAAAUACUUCCAUUAAUCAAGAACGAAAGUUAAGGGAGUGAAGACGAUCAGAUACCGUCGUAAUCUUAACCAUAAACUAUGCCGACUAGGCUUUGGAUGAAAGAUUAUUAAAAUAAGGGG
RNAcentral lists this ribosomal RNA (482 nucleotides) under Plasmodium coatneyi. RNAcentral describes it as "SSU rRNA". It matches the Rfam family "Eukaryotic small subunit ribosomal RNA", at positions 625 to 1075 of the family's 1831-position model. The record is from RNAcentral. Lineage: Eukaryota; Apicomplexa; Aconoidasida; Haemosporida; Plasmodiidae.